CCCGCCUCCCGCCUCCCUCCUCGUCCAGUCCUCUUCUCCAUACGUCCCUUCCCCCUCAAGCUCCUAUUGCCACCUGCUUGAUUCUGUCCUGCCUCCAGUGAUCUCCGUUGUGGAUCUAACCUCAUCCGUAGCCGCAAGUCGGGGUCCUCCCCUUUGAUCAACAUGCAACUACGGCGACGCGCAAGGCAACCUCCAGGGCGAAGGCAAGGCGACUUCCUCUUUGCUGGCCAUGUCCUUCGACGUACUCUCCUAAUCCUCCACCCCCAAUCAGAGUAGGUGAGGGGGAACCUCCACCAUCCUGGAGUCCUGUUCCUGACCCUUAUAAUCUACAGAGUGAAAGUCAACAAGGUAUGGGAGUCUGGGAAAAAAGGAGGUAGAGGCUACCUAACUUGUUGGAUUCAAUGGACAAAGCUUUGUUGGAUGUCUUUGUUGAAAGGAGAUCAUGCUCAGAAUGGAUGGAAACCUCAUGUGUACACAGCUGCUGUCAAGAAUGUGAGAGAGAAAUGUGAAAUAUUACGAAGGAGAAUAUUAUAUCAAGGAGCAAAACUUUUGACAAGUACCAUGCAAUCAUAAGCAAGAUGCUCUCUCGGAGUGGUUUUGGUUGGGACUGGGACAACAACAAGAUCUCUGUUGACAGUGAUGAUGUAUGGAAUACUUAUGUCCAGGCAAACGAAGAUGCAACUUCAUAUCGACACAAGACUAUUAGGUUUUGGGACAUGAUUAGCUUAGUCUACUCGAAGAAUCGUGCUAACGGAGCUGGAGCUAGGACUGCGGCUGAAAGUGUAGUAGAAAUGGCUGCGGAGAAUGGUGACAACAGCAAGGACACUGACGCUACCUCAUCCACUCAAGUCGAUGGAGAUCGAAAGAAGAAAAGGUAUAGAUCAGAUGAGACUAUUGCUUCCAUGCUUGGUGAGAAACUGGACAA
Molecule: long non-coding RNA, 925 nt
Organism: Brachypodium distachyon (stiff brome)
Lineage: Eukaryota; Viridiplantae; Streptophyta; Magnoliopsida; Poales; Poaceae
Exons: 5
Source: RefSeq, a predicted model, not a curated record